ACGUAGGGGGCAAGCGUUGUCCGGAAUUAUUGGGCGUAAAGGGUGCGUAGGCGGCCUUUCAAGUUGGAUGUGAAAUCCCCAUGCUUAACAUGGGAAUUGCAUGCAAAACUGGAGGGCUUGAGUGUGGAAGAGGUAAGUGGAAUUCCCAGUGUAGCGGUGAAAUGCGUAGAUAUUGGGAGGAACACCAGUGGCGAAGGCGACUUACUGGGCCACAACUGACGCUGAGGCACGAAAGCGUGGGGAGCAAACAG
RNAcentral lists this ribosomal RNA (251 nucleotides) under uncultured prokaryote. Its description in RNAcentral is "partial 16S rRNA". It matches the Rfam family "Bacterial small subunit ribosomal RNA", at positions 525 to 775 of the family's 1533-position model. The record is from RNAcentral.